GAAUAUUGGACAAUGGGGGGAACCCUGAUCCAGCCAUGCCGCGUGUGUGAAGAAGGCCUUUUGGUUGUAAAGCACUUUAAGCGAGGAGGAGGCUACUAUAGUUAAUACCUAGAGAUAGUGGACGUUACUCGCAGCAUAAGCACCGGCUACCUCCGUGCCGGGACCCGCGGUAAUACAGAGGGUGCAAGCGUUAAUAGGAUUUACUGGGCUCAAAGCGCGCGUAGGUGGCCAAUUAAGUCAAAUGUGAAAUCCCCGAGCUUAACUUGGGAAUUGCAUUCGAUACUGGUUGGCUAGAGUAUGGGAGAGGAUGGUAGAAUUCCAGGUGUAGCGGUGAAAUGCGUAGAGAUCUGGAGGAAUACCGAUGGCGAAGGCAGCCAUCUGGCCUAAUACUGACACUGAGGUGCGAAAGCAUGGGGAGCAAACAG
RNAcentral lists this ribosomal RNA (425 nucleotides) under uncultured bacterium. Its description in RNAcentral is "bacterial SSU rRNA". It matches the Rfam family "Bacterial small subunit ribosomal RNA", at positions 359 to 775 of the family's 1533-position model. The record is from RNAcentral.